CCAACAGUUAUGAUGGAAAGGAACUCUGAAGGUAGGAGGAGCUGCAAAGUCCAGAGGAGACAAGGGGCAUGGAAAUAAUAAUAAUAAUAAUAAUAAUAAUAAUAAUAAUAAUAACUAGCGUCACCUGUCACUGGUGCAUGUGGCUUGGUUCCCUUGCUUGACUUGUCCACAGAUGUUGACAGCUUGGCAGGUCCUCAGCUGUGGUCCCCAGAUUAUAGUUUCUGUUGUGAAUAUCUGGCUGGUUACAAGGUUGAACCAUAUGACCUUUCCAUGCCUCUAUUCUCUUAACUCUAAGGCUGUGUAAACAUCACACCUUGAAAUCACAGGGUCAUUCCAUUAAAAUGUCAACCUACAGGCUCAUCGUUCCUAAACAUGUUGUAGAUCAUUUUAAAGAGAACUUCCCAAAGUUUCAGGAUCAUGUCACUGUGUGUGGUGGGUUUUAACAGGAAGGAGAGCACAGUGGUACCUUGGUUUUAGAACAGCUUAGUUUAUGAACAACUUGGAAAUAGAACGCUGCAAACCCGGAAGUAGGUGUCCCUUUUUGUGAGCUUUGCCUUGUUCAGCUUCCUGUCGAAUAUAUUCAUUUGUAAAUUGAGUCCCCCACUGCUAAUCAGAGGCUGAGUCCUGAGUCCCAAGCACCCAGGCAACACAGAGGUGAUAUUUGGAGCUUUUGUUUUUGCUAUUUGUUUUUGCUAUUUGUUUGUGUGGCUUUUUCGUUUUUGUGACUGUGACUUGUGACUUUGUUUUUGUGACUUGUUUUUGUGACUGUGUGGAACCCAGUUCAGCUGCUGAUUGAUGGUGUGACUGCAGAAAUGGAUUAAAAAAAAACACACCAUCCAAACAAUGACUAUCAUCAGUGCACGUAAGAAAAAAAUUGAAUAUGAACACAUAUUCAGCAUGCAUGUCCAGUCUCUGACAUCUACAGACAUGGCUGGGAGGAGUCUGAAAGCCUGGGGAAAGCCUGUCUCUCAGGACAGCCCAGACUAAGCUCAGUGCAACAUGAACCGACUCAGGAUAAUGCAGCUUCCUAGCUCCCCCCCAAAAUGAUACCACACAUCCAUUUCCAUCACAUAUUCUUAUUGCAGUCCCAUCACAGAUGGAACUACACCAGAAGGGUAAUAAUAAUAAUAAUAAUAAUAAUAAUAAUAAUAAUAAUAAUUUAUUAUUUAUACCCCGCCCAUUUGGCUGGGCUUCCCCAGCCACUCUGGGCGGCUUUCAACAAAAUAUUAAAAUACCGUAAUGCAUCAAACAUUAAAAGCUUCCCUAAACAGGGCUGCCAUAUUAAACUAAGCACUCCUUCAUAAUUAGCAAUUUCCUACCUGAUAAGCAUGCUUUGUGUGCAGAAAAAUGCAUAGAUAGUAACAUCCAGAUCCAACCUAGCAUGGACAUAUACGCCCUAGAGCAAGAGGGGGGUGUAAUCAGAUGAACAACAGAUACCACUUUUAACUACCUCCAAACAGCCACAAAGAUUGCUAUCAUUCACCAACAACCACCCGCAGGUACACUCAACUUUUAAUUUAAAAGGCCAAAACUCUGUAGUUAGGACAACAGUGCCUGAAAGGGUACGCUGAGCUGUUCUUUUUGUGACUACGGACAGUAAUAGGAAACAUUAGGCCCCAUUCUCUUUAUAUCAAAUCAGAAGGUGUUUCCUGGUACAUAAUGAGCAUCAUCAAAAUCCAUUAGCCACAGCUAAUUAUCAACAGCAUGUAUGUACACCAAAUGAAACUGACCGCCUGUGCCUCAUGUGGUUUGACAAGUGAUGACAGCAAUAGUGACCAAUAUACUGUCUAUAUGUGAGUUCCUACCGCGCUCUUGCAUUUCUCCCAUUCAUUUUGGUGGAGCUUCCAUGAGAGAUUUUUCCACUGGAUUGUGGCAUCUGCCAAAAGAGAAACAGAAUUAAGCCCUUCUUAAAUUUAUCCUUUAGAGUGAAAAGAUUUGCAAUUAUUAGUGUACAUGAAAGCAUGCAAAAUGUCUCCAUAAUUUACUGGGUUUUCAGCUGCUCUGACAUUGGGGCUGCAUCUGGACAUGCACAGCUCAGGUUUAUAGAUUUGUACUCAUUUCAAGGCAAAUGAAUGGAUAAAUGUAUUGUGACUGAUUAACCGUUCUUUGUACUCUUAGGAGUGUGUCAUUAUGAACGAUUGUCCACACAACUCAUUACUAUGCCAUUAAGCCUUGUGAAUUAUUGCUGCUAACAAUGCUCUUCCAAAAUGAUGGACUGCACUUCCAUUGACUUUAUGGAGCAGAUAUCUUAUUUACAUUAUACAUAUUUAUUAAAAUGAAAAUUGCUGCUGUAUUAUAAUCUGCACUACUUUGCUUUCAGGCUGACUUCUCUAAUUAUGCAUUUUUGAAACCACUUUCAAAGCAGCAACAGUCUUCCCUUUGUAUGAAUCCGUUUGUAAUGGAUUUAAUACUUAUAUUGGGUGACUUUUAACAUAUUUGAAAAGGCGGGGGCCUCAAAACUGCAAUUCCCCUCUGCUCAAAGGCACAAACCCUUUUUGAGUUUAGCCCAGUCUUUUACCACUGAAAAUAGGCUCACACCCCACCUCAUCUGCUCCACAAACCUUGGCAUAUCCAAGGGAAAAGUAUUCCUUAUAUGGGGGCGGGGGGGGGGACUGUGGAGGGCGUAAAAUUAGUCCAGAGGAUCUCCAAAGGGCCUCUCAUUGACAGCAAGUGGCAUGCUCCAGGUAUUACUUCCUACCAACCAUAGAAUUUGACUGCAGGCCCCCUGAUUUUGGGCAGCAGACAACAUCAUUUGCCCCUGGAAAAAGCCCCCCCAGGCCUUUCCUCGCCUGCUUUCCUCUCUUGCCCCCUCCUGCAGGGCCUGUUGCUUUUGUCUUGAGGAACAGGGAAACUGAUAAGGUGGGCAGAGGAGGAACUAGUGUGGGUUUGAGAAAGGUGGUGGGACUGCUAAAGUUUUCAAGCUAAGCACUUAGGUUGAGGAACACUGAUGUGUUUGGGUGUUGGUUUUUUAGGGUUUGACGUAACGGCCAAUCAGUGCAGCCCAGGUGUUUGGGCAAGUAAGCAGGUCCAUCCAUCCCUCCUGUAGGUUUCCAUUCCAAGCACUGGGGAGACUCAGGUUCAAAUCCCCACACAGAGGUCAAUUUUACUGGGUAAUCUUGGCCACUAUCUCCUAGCCUAACUUACCUCACAGUAUUGUUGUGGGGAUAAAAUGGGUAUGAGAAGAAGCUUGCAUGCUCCUCUGACCUUGGAGAAAGGGGGAGACUAAAAUGUAAAACGAAACAAAAAACAAAACACUUGAUGUUGAGUAAUUAACAUGCAUUGCAUGAACCGCUCUAAUGUGCUCACUAUCGCCCGCCCGCCACUGCCCCAAGUGGUACAGUACUUUCUAUGAUUUCUUGCAUGUUUGCAUUUGCUUGCUUCAGCUUAAACCAACAGCUGAGGAGAAUAAGUGUGGUGCAUCUUUAACAAUUUAAUGGCCUAAAUACAUUAUGAAUAGUAGCAAGCAUGAUGGGGAAACUGUUUAGGCUCAGAAUGCAGUCCUUCUCGCUAAUAAACAGCACUGGUUGUUUUCCAUUUCUUUAGUUCUUUCAAAUACAACUCUUGUUGUUCUCACAUUUUACCCAGAUGCAGUUUAAAAUAAAUGACAGAAAACCAAGUUGGUUUUGAUCACGUUGGGUGUUGUAAUCAAAGACUUUGCACAUUAUGAACCAAUGAAUUAAAAGCUAUUAAAAACUCCACAUUAUCAAGAAUUUCUUUAAAAGCACCAAACUGUUUCAAGAAAAAUGGGAACAUGAAGAUUUCACUGAAAAGUUUAUAAUUAUAUAGGUGCCAACGUGAAGCCAAGGCCAGCCGGCCUAGAACACAGUUGUGCCUGAAGUAUGAAAUGAAAUAAAAAUGAUGUCUUCCCCUCCCAUAUUUUAACACAGGACACAGUAAGACAUUGUCCCGCAUAAGCCCUAAAGAAUAUUUUACUAGAUUAUUUUUUCAGGAUCAAAUCUACACAAAUCCAAAAUCUGAUGCCUGAGGCAGCUCCUUUGCCUUGUAAGAUUGUGGAUGGGCAGAACUUUUGAGUGCUGAGUGUGGACAUGAACCAAAUAGUUGAACAACCCACAUCUCUCAGGGUAAUGUUGAUGGGGAGAAGAGAGCGCAGAUUUGUAGAGCCUCAUCAAGCCAAGGUGGCUAUUUUUACAACCAGAAAAAUUAGGCUUGUCACAGGGAUUGCAGACUCAUGUGAACAUUUUCACUCAUUCAUCAAAUAUAAUCAGUUAUGGGUACUUGAGUUGGGAAGAGAACAAGGCCUAUUCUUCUGAAGCACCAUUUUAAUGCACUCACCAACCAACCCUCUGGUUACCUGCAAAGGGCCCUCUUUUUUAGCAACAAAUUAAUCCGAAAGUAGAUCACAUUGAGCAAGUGGAAAGCAUACUGUUCUGUGUCCUGUACUCAAGUAACUAUACUUCUGUCAGCUAACUCUUACAGGCAACGUUUACAGUAUAGAAUUUCCUACUUUGAGGUAAUUUGGGGCCAAACUAGUCAUAAAGGUAAACUGGGUCUUUGAAUCUUACAUGCAGGUUUUUUGUGUUGUUGUUUUUUUACAAAAAACACAAUUAGUAUCAGCUAACACGUUGAUUCAACACAGUCGUAGAAUGUCUGAAAAAAGGAACGCGUUAACAGACUCCCUUGGGGCAGAAAAAACAUGGUUUGAAGUGACAGUGGAAAAUAUGAAAACUCUGCCUAUGGUCAUUCAUCUGUAUCAGCUCAUUCACACACACAAAAACAUUGCUUAUUGACAAUGAGGGGUGGCUAACACCCCAGAGGACAGGAUCACACUUCAAAACGACCUUGACAGAUUAGAGAACUGGGCAAAAACAAACAAGAUGAAUUUUAACAGGGAGAAAUGUAAAGUAUUGCACUUGGGCAAAAAAAAUUGAGAGGCACAAAUACAAGUUGGGUGACACCUGGCUUGAGAGCAGUACAUGUGAAAAGGAUCUAGGAGUCUUGGUUGACCACAAACUUGACAUGAGCCAACAGUGUGACGCGGCAGCUAAAAAAGCCAAUGCAAUUCUGGGCUGCAUCAAUAGGAGUAUAGCAUCUAGAUCAAGGGAAGUAAUAGUGCCACUGUAUUCUGCUCUGGUCAGACCUCACCUGGAGUACUGUGUCCAGUUCUGGGCACCACAGUUCAAGAAGGACACUGACAAACUGGAACGUGUCCAGAGGAGGGCAACCAAAAUGGUCAAAGGCCUGGAAACGAUGCCUUAUGAGGAACGGCUAAGGGAGCUGGGCAUGUUUAGCCUGGAGAAGAGGAGGUUAAGGGGUGAUAUGAUAGCCAUGUUCAAAUAUAUAAAAGGAUGUCACAUAGAGGAGGGAGAAAGGUUGUUUUCUGCUGCUCCAGAGAAGCGGACACGGAGCAAUGGAUCCAAACUACAAGAAAGAAGAUUCCACCUAAACAUUAGGAAGAACUUCCUGACAGUAAGAGCUGUUUGACAGUGGAACUUGCUGCCAAGGAGUGUGGUGGAGUCUCCUUCUUUGGAGGUCUUUAAGCAGAGGCUUGACAACCAUAUGUCAGGAGUGCUCUGAUGGUGUUUCCUGCUUGGCAGGGGGUUGGACUCGAUGGCCCUUGUGGUCUCUUCCAGCUCUAUGAUUCUAUGAUUCUAUGAUUAAUUACAAUCAGUGAGCAAUAUGCACACACGUGAGGCGCCCUAGCCCUAAGGUGUCUCCCUCUUCUCGUGGAACUACUGAACUUGGAAAGGACUUUGGAGGUCAUUUAGGUAAUUAAAAUCUUUCUAUGUUUUUAAGUAUGGUUGUGAUUUUUUCCUAAAUUUAUUGUUUUAUCUAAUCAUUUUGUUUUUUUACAAUCAAGUGAUAUAAAUCUUAGAGGAAGAGGGGAAUGUAGGUCCAAGUCCCUGCCUAAUGUAGGAUUAGAGAUAAAACAGAGAUUACAGAAAGGUACAAUGGCUCUGCAAUAUCACCAAAUGAUGAUAUUUGGCCAACAUGUUCUUCUGCUUGUUCUCUAGCUGUUGUCCAAACAGCCUCCCUGUAAACCAGGGAGAUGCCUGGGCUCUGGUAAGUGAAAGAAAAUGCAUACAAGCCGGAAAGUCACAAUGGCUUUGACAGAACAGCUAGUGACAUUAGCAAAAGCAUUCUCUGGGUCAGGUUAACCAGAAAUGUCAUAAAGACCAUCACCCUUCAGGUUACUUCUGAGUAGCUAAGAAGCUCAUGGUCAUUGGUGAAUUGGUCACUGGUGAAUUCCUUUUCUGAUUUUCAGAAUGUAAACUGUAUUUUCUGUACAGCACCACAACUCCAUCUUGACCAACCAACCACACACUUAGAUUUCUGGUCAAUCUUAGCAAGGGAAGACAACCCACCUCAAAGAAGAUAUUUAAGGGAACUAGGUAAUACGGUGAAGGUAAAGGACCCCUGGAUGGUUAAGUCCAGUCAAAGACGACUAUGGGGUGUGACGCUCAUCUCGCUUUUAAGGUCAAGGGAGCCGGCGUUUGUCCACAGACAGCUUUCUGGGGUCAUGUGGCCAGCAGGACUAAACUGCUACUGGUGCAUGGAGGGCCAUGACGAGUGCCAGAGCGCAUGGAAAUGCCAUUUACCUUCCUGCCGCACCAAGUAUUUAUCUACUUGCGCUGGUAUGUUUUUGAACUGCUGGGUUGGCAGAAGCUGGAAGAGAGCAACAGGAGCUCACCCUGUUACAGGGAUUCAAACCACCGACCUUCUGAUCAGCAAGCCCAAGAGCAGGUUUACCUCGCCUGUGCCAGUUCACUCCAGCAGAGAUCCCUCUGUUGGCUGGAUCGCGCACGUGAUUUCCGGUGCCUGCGUCUGCGCAGACGCAAUUUCCAGUGCCGCAGAAGCAAGUCCCUGCGCUGCGCUGCGCUGCGCUGCGCUGCGCUGCGCUGCACCGGUUUAGUGCACUGUGCGGGGACUCAUCGAGCGGGUGGGUCGGCUGGCAAGCGGCUCGUGGGCCGGUUAAACGACCUCCGUGGGCUGCUUGUGGCCCAUGGGCCUUAGGUUGCCGACCCCUGCCCAAGAGGGUCAGUGGUUUAGUCCAGGAGUCAGCAACCUUUUUCAGCUGUGGGCCGGUCCACCGUCCCUCAGACCAUGUGGGGGGCCAGACUAUAUUUCUUUGGGGGAAAUGAACCAAUUCCUAUGCCCCACAAAUAACCCAGAGGUGCAUCUUAAAUAAACGGACACAUUCUACUCAUGUAAAAACACGCUGAUUCCCUGGCCAUCCGUGGGCCAGAUUGAGAAGGCGGUUGGGCCGCAUCUGGCCCCCGGGCCUUAGGUUGCCUACCCCUGGCUUAGACCAUAGCGCCACCUGUGGCCCAUCUAAGGGAACUAUGAAGCUGUCACUGAAGUGGCUUGGCUAUUCAGUUCUGCAGUUCUCUAAAGAUCUGGGGGAGUCCAGUUCUAGCUAAAUAUACAGGUACAGAUACCCAAAGAAAUCAGGUCAACUUCAGGCCAUUUCACAUAAUAAAUUUUGCAGCAGAAACAUCACUCUUUGUGUUGGGAUGGGGACCAUUUCUUUUGUGAUGUUUGAAUGAUCUCAUGAGCCGCUCUUCAGCUUUGAUGGUGAAGAAGGUUCAUAGCCUGGGUGACCACAGGAGAGGCACUGAAAUGCAGUGAGAGAGCUUUGAAGUUGGUUGCAGCAGCAGUGCAAACCUCUCUCUCUUUCUCUCUUCCAUUAAUAUAUAUAGAACAACCUAUGCAUAAGGCUAUGAAACCAGGUGCCUCUCUAAAGUAGAUUUUACUUCAGAAUUCCACAAAUAGUUUUUCUUUCACACACAGCUGCCAAGGACUCUCAGAUUUUAGGCAAGUGAUGAAAACUCAACUGAUAAAAAUUAUAUGCCCACUUCGGCAUAUAAUAGUUACCUAUAUUCGUUUUAAACUGUUUUCUGAUUUGAUAUGUAUUUUAAUGAUAAUCAUUUCAUGUAUAUUUGUUUUAUAAUGGUUGUGUAGGUUUUAGUUGUGCUUUAUCUACAGUUUUAUUAUGUACACUUAGAGACCACUCUUUGCUUAAGCAGUUUAUAAAUCUGUCAAAAUAAAUAAAAUAAAUGCACAAGGCAAAAAAUACAAAUAAUUCUCACCAUGGUGGCAAAUAUAAUAAUAAACGAAAGGGUAUGCCCUGCAAAAUUGUACAUGUGAAAACAAGAACAUUUGAUUAUCACUUUAAGUACCCCUCUCUGAAUGUCACAUUAGGCUUUGGCCCACAAUUGUGUCAAUGUUCUCAAGUAAGAGGUGCACUAUUACAUUUAAUAAAGAAACCAGGAGUUCUUGGGGAUGAAUCUGAAUUUGAAAUCUUAUUGGUAUUAGAAAACAAAAAGAGUUUAAUUGGCAAAAAUUAUUCUACAAUCACAAAUCUGGAUAAUAAAAUUGAAAGGCUUAUGAUGAAAUGAGAUACAGAGUUACAGCAGGAUGUAAAUAAAGCAGAGUGGAAAUAGAUUUGGCCUAAAAUUGCACCACAAAUUAUGUCAAUAGAGAUAAUAUAUCAAUAGAUAUAUUGAUAUAUAUCAAUAUAUCAAUAGAUAUAUUUAAAAAGGAUUUUUUAAAAAAAUGAUCGGAUAUCAGUAGUAUUUGACCCCAUUCACUAAGAUACAUGGGUAACGUGCAACUUACAUACAAUAACUUGCAUGCAUUUAGCUUUAUGCACAUGGCAAAAAAAUUUUUAAAAAAAAUUAAAAGGAGGUGGAAUGUGGCAUCCAGGAAGAUUUUGGCUAUCCCACCCACCACUGAACCCUGUGUGUUUUGACUACACACAGUUUUGCCUUUUUGUUCUAUUCCCGGAAUGUAUCCCCCACAUAAAUUGAGAGUUGCCUAUAUUCAGUAGCUCAGGGUAGGAGAUGCAGUAGGUACACUGUAGAUUUUUUACACAUAUUUUGGAAUUGCUCAGCUAUUCAAAUCUAUUGAGCCACAAUUUGAAAUAUUAUCUCUGAAAUGAUCUGAUAUUCACUUUCCAAUGACUCAAAAAUAUUAUUACCAGUGGGGGUUUUUGAGGGGGGAGGUAGGAAGGUAGACUCAAUGCCUGAAUUCCCUUCCAAUUCUUGGAAUAGCCAAGCUACCUUCCUGGUGAAGUGGUGGGUCAUUAAAGGGAACAAAGGAAGUGGAUCUGUGCAGGAGGACAAAUAUGUGUGUGGCCCCUUCCUCAACUCGUGGGUAGUUAGAAGGACAACGGCAGAGCUGAGAACAGAGGGUUCUGUUGAAAAAGCAGCAGACUGCGAAGCCGGAGAGAGAGAGAGAGAUGCCUGGUUUCUUUUUUCUUUUUUUAUAAUUAAUAUUUAUUAAAGUUUCAGAAAGAAUAAAAUCACAUUAAUAAACAAGAAAAUUUUAACAAAAACAAAGAAAAAUACACCAUACAAAAUACAAAGUACAAAACAGAAAAAAGUAAAAAAAAGAAGAAAGGAAAAAAAAGAAAAAACAGUUAAAAAUAGUUCCGUCCUUUCAUAACCUCUUUUAGAUUUACUUGUUUCCCGGACUUCCUCAUACCUCCCUCUUUUGUAUUCCAAUUCAGUUUGUAAGCCCAGCAAUUUCUUUCUCUCCUUUUUAAUUCCAGUCCUAAAUCUUAAUAUGACAUUAGAUUUUUACCUAUUUGAACCAAUUUUUCCAUUUCUCUUAGUCUUUUUGGUCCUAAUCCUUAAUCUUGAUAUAUUUAUAGCUUUAAAACCUGUUCAGCUAGAAGCCACUUAACUUCAAUCCAACAUCACUCUAACAUUCAUUGAUUUUGCAAUGUUUCUGUAAAUAAUCUUUAAAUUUCUUCCAAUCUUCUUCCACUGACUCUUCUCCCUGGUCACGGAUUCUGCCAGUCAUUUCCGCCAAUUCCAUAUAGUCCAUAAGUUUCAUCUGCCAUUCCUCCAGCGUGGGAAGUUCUUGUAUCUUCCAAUACUUUGUGAUAAGUAUUCUUGCUGCUGUUGUAGCGUACAUAAAGAAAGUUCUGUCCUUCUUUAACACCGAUUGGUCGACUAUGCCCAGGAGAAAGGCCUCUGGUUUCUUCAAGAAGGUAUAUUUAGAUACCUUUUUUAAUUCAUUAUAAAUCAUCUCCCAGAAAGCCUUAAUCCUUGGGCACGUCCACCAAAGGUGAAAGAAUGUACCUUCAGUUUCUUUACAUUUCCAACAUUUAUUAUUGGGCAAAUGGUAGAUUUUUGCAAGCUUGACUGGGGUUAUGUACCACCUGUAUAUCAUUUUCAUAAUAUUCUCUCUUAGGGCAUAACAUGCCGUAAACUUCAUACCUGUGGUCCAUAACUGUUCCCAGUCAGCAAACAUAAUAUUAUGUCCAACAUCUUGUGCCCAUUUAAUCAUAGCAGAUUUCACCAUUUCAUCCUGAGUAUUCCAUUUCAGCAGCAAGUUAUACAUUCUUGACAAAUUCUUAGUUUUGGGUUCUAACAGUUCUGUUUCUAAUUUUGAUUUUUCCACCUGGAAGCCAAUUUUCUUGUCCAAAUUGUAUGCCUCCAUUAUCUGAUAAUAAUGAAGCCAGUCUUGCACUUUAUUUUUUAGUUUUUCAAAACUCUGCAGUUUCAAUCUAUCUCCAUCUUGUUCUAAAAUUUCCCAAUAUUUCGGCCAUUUGACCUCCAUAUUGAGCUUUUUCAAGGCUUUCGCUUCCAUCGGUGAGAGAGAUGCCUGGUUUCUGUUUGACUCCAAGGCUGCGACUAUGGGAGAAGCAAGACCCUCAUGGGGUGCUAAUGCUGUGAACCCCUCCAUCGUAGGCUCAGGUUGUAUAUACCGUAUUUUUCGCCCUAUAGGGCGCACCGGCCCAUAGGGUGCACCUAGUUUUCAGGGGGGGAAAUCAAGGGAAAAAAUAUGAUCCCCCCCCGCAGCUCUGCGUGCAGCCUGUCCGCUACUCCAAGACCUUCUCCCUGCUUUUGCGGGAGGUGGUGGAAUUCCCCCACCUCCCGCAAAAGCCCACAGGAGCCGCGCGUGACUCCUGCGGGCUUUUCGACCAGGAGGGAGAAGGGACUGAAACGGCCAGUCAGUCCCUUGUCCCUCCUCGGGGAAAAGCCCCCAAGAGCGGUGCGCUCUUUAAAGGGUGCGCGGCAUCCUGCAGGCUUUUCUACGAGGUGGGGGAAUUCGCCCACCUCGUAGAAAAGCCAGCAGAAGCCGCACAGCCUUUAAAGAGCGCACGGCUUUUGCCUGCUUUUGUGGGAGGUGGGGGAAUUCCCCCACCUCCUGCAAAAGCACGCAGGAGGGAGAAGGGGAAUUCCACCUUCCCGCUGACCCCCAAGCUUGUGGGGCUGGCGGUGGGGGGAAGCGCUGCUUUCCCCCACCACCAGCCUCAAAGAGCAGACUCUCCUGGCUUCAGCAAAGUAACGCGAAGCCUCCGGAGCGCAGGCUUGGGAAGCUUCGUUUUGCUAUCGCUGAAGCCAAGGAGCCUGCAUUCGCCCCACAGGACGCACACACAUUUCCCCUUCAUUUUUGGAGGGGAAAAAGUGCGUCCUAUAGGGCAAAAAAUACGGUAUGUGUAAAUAAACCAUAUAUCAUAAAAGCACCACUGUCCCUUGUUCCAAAGGAAGCACAAACCCUGGGAAAGCCCUUGAAGCCCCUGGACUCUUGCAUCGCGGGGGGGGGGGCUGCAACAAGAUUGGGAAGAACACAUUGAGCAUUGAGCAUUCAGGAGCUCUAAAAGUUCUCAUUCCUGCAGCAGAACUAACCCUGAAGUUUGAAAGCAUUAGAAAAGUAACAUGAAAAUAGCACAAACAGUCUACACGCUUGGAGAAAUGUUUUUAUUCUCCUAUCCUAAAACAUGCACUCUGCAACCUUCCAAUGGCCCAGUACUAGCAAGAUUAAUGCCUGGGCCAGUGACAACUUUUGUUUCUGUAUUUUAGCAGUGACUGCAACUAAACCUUGCUGUUAACACCUCCAUUCCCAGAAGACUGUAGGCUUUGUAAAUAUGCUGCAGUGACUGACCCCCAUUGAUUUGCUUUUGGUGUUAAGUUCCCCAAGAGUUAAAGUGUUAUGGAGAAAAUAAAUGAACUUCAGCUAAUUUGUUUUUCCAUUGCCAGUAGGCAUUACUGGAAAAGUCUAUGGAGGAGAUUAAAGUGAUACGGUUUGGAAGGAGAGUGUAAAUGUAACAAGCCGCAUUCCUCCAACUCAAGAGAUUAAGGUUGGGUUACAACACACAUUUACUUAGGAGUAAGUCACCACUGUAUUCCAUACGAUUGGCUUCCAAAUAAACAUACAUGGGACUCAGCUUCCCCAAAAAUCAAACUACACACAGCAGUGUCCAACUAAACGUAAGCAUUUUAAGUCCGAUUGAUUUCAAUGGGAAAGAUUUAAGCAUAUGUUUAACUCCUGUAUUGAAAUAAACUUAAUUUUAAACUUAAUGAACUUCCGUGUGUUAAACUUGUUAAAAUGUUUUUGCAUUUUUGAAUAUGAAGAUUGCAUGUUUCCUCUACAAAUAAAAAUACUCGAUUCCUCCCUCUGGACCUACCAACCACCCUUAGUUACUGAAUAUCACAAUUAUUUGCUCUCACAAUUAAGCUACUGAGUAAUAUGAAUCUUCUAUUAUAUCAUGGUUGAAUUUGAUUAUGUUUUGGGGUGGUUUUGUUAGUUGCAUCAAAAUGCACAUUUUGAACAGAAGAAAUACAUUUUAAGAGGGGACAUUAUAUGUUUAUUAUAAACGUGUGAAAAUUAAGGAGAAGGGAAACAGUGAAAGGUAAGGUGGAGUAGAUGUGUUAAAUUGUGCCAAAUCAGAUUUUAUCUGUUGCAUUUUGGGUUCAUUUUGUAAGCUGCUUUUGUGAAGAAUUUCCUUGAAGAAUGGAUUAGAAAUCUAUCAAUCAAUUCCUCUUACAUACUGGAAGCAUAUUAUUUUACCACAUGGACCGCACAUUUGCUCACACACCUGCACCCCAUGUGUAGGAAAAUCCUCCUUACUCACUCCUCCCUGAAUUGUGUCCCUCUGCCUGCUUUUGACUAGGCACCUUGCCUCUGACUCUCACCUGGGACUAAUUUAGACUGGUGAGUUAUAACAUUAUAAAUGUGUUAAUAAAAUGUGACACCAGGGGGCGCUGUACAGCAUAUUUUUUUAGAUCAGUGUAGAUCCCGCCCCAGUUGACAGCUUCCUUACUCUUUAAUUCUUAGGAUGCUGACCCUUGGAGAACCCAAUGGCAGAGAAGCUAAGGACAAGCAAUAGAGGGAGGCUGCAGGGGCCAACAUUUGCCUUUUCAAACUGCCUCUUCAAGCAUCUGACAAAAAGGGUGGAGUGAGGCGGCUCUUUUGCUGAGCUGCUGCAUCUGGCCCCUACACGCUGCCGCUGCACCAAGCCUCCACCUGGUUUAACUAG
Podarcis lilfordi (Lilford's wall lizard) is the source of this 13231-nucleotide non-coding RNA. The record is from the annotation of a GenBank genome assembly. Lineage: Eukaryota; Metazoa; Chordata; Lepidosauria; Squamata; Lacertidae.